RNAcentral lists this transfer RNA (73 nucleotides) under Stegodyphus mimosarum. It matches the Rfam family "tRNA". From Rfam's summary of the family: Transfer RNA (tRNA) molecules are approximately 80 nucleotides in length. The record is from Rfam by way of RNAcentral. Lineage: Eukaryota; Metazoa; Arthropoda; Arachnida; Araneae; Eresidae.
GCUUUCGUGGUGUAGUGGUCAGCACGCUCGGCGCGUAUUCGAGAAGUCCGCGGUUCGAGUCCCGGCGAGGGUA